RNAcentral lists this transfer RNA (88 nucleotides) under Bacteroides sp. Its description in RNAcentral is "tRNA-Leu". It matches the Rfam family "tRNA". From Rfam's summary of the family: Transfer RNA (tRNA) molecules are approximately 80 nucleotides in length. Their secondary structure includes four short double-helical elements and three loops (D, anti-codon, and T loops). The record is from RNAcentral. Lineage: Bacteria; Pseudomonadati; Bacteroidota; Bacteroidia; Bacteroidales; Bacteroidaceae. RNAcentral also lists the same sequence under 4 other names.
GCGGUUGUGGCGGAAUUGGCAGACGCGCAAGAUUCAGGUUCUUGUGAGCAGUACGUUCAUGUGGGUUCAAGUCCCGUCAACCGCACCA